This 754-nucleotide ribosomal RNA is filed under the name Bacillus subtilis. Its description in RNAcentral is "bacterial SSU rRNA". It matches the Rfam family "Bacterial small subunit ribosomal RNA", at positions 37 to 776 of the family's 1533-position model. The record is from RNAcentral. Lineage: Bacteria; Bacillati; Bacillota; Bacilli; Caryophanales; Bacillaceae.
AGGUUGCGUGUCGACUGCAAGUCGAGCGGACAGAUGGGAGCUUGCUCCCUGAUGUUAGCGGCGGACGGGUGAGUAACACGUGGGUAACCUGCCUGUAAGACUGGGAUAACUCCGGGAAACCGGGGCUAAUACCGGAUGGUUGUUUGAACCGCAUGGUUCAAACAUAAAAGGUGGCUUCGGCUACCACUUACAGAUGGACCCGCGGCGCAUUAGCUAGUUGGUGAGGUAACGGCUCACCAAGGCAACGAUGCGUAGCCGACCUGAGAGGGUGAUCGGCCACACUGGGACUGAGACACGGCCCAGACUCCUACGGGAGGCAGCAGUAGGGAAUCUUCCGCAAUGGACGAAAGUCUGACGGAGCAACGCCGCGUGAGUGAUGAAGGUUUUCGGAUCGUAAAGCUCUGUUGUUAGGGAAGAACAAGUACCGUUCGAAUAGGGCGGUACCUUGACGGUACCUAACCAGAAAGCCACGGCUAACUACGUGCCAGCAGCCGCGGUAAUACGUAGGUGGCAAGCGUUGUCCGGAAUUAUUGGGCGUAAAGGGCUCGCAGGCGGUUUCUUAAGUCUGAUGUGAAAGCCCCCGGCUCAACCGGGGAGGGUCAUUGGAAACUGGGGAACUUGAGUGCAGAAGAGGAGAGUGGAAUUCCACGUGUAGCGGUGAAAUGCGUAUAGAUGUGGGAGGAACACCAGUGGCGAAAGCGAUUCUCUGGUCUGUAACUGACGCUGAGGAGCGAAAUCGUGGGGAGCGAACACG